GAUGAACGCUGGCGGCGUGCUUAACACAUGCAAGUCGAACGGGAAACCUUUUAUUGCAGCUUCGGCAGAUUUAGCUGGUUUCUAGUGGCGGACGGGUGAGUAACGCGUGGGUAACCUGCCUUAUACAGGGGGAUAACAGUCAGAAAUGGCUGCUAAUACCGCAUAAGCGCACAGAGCUGCAUGGCUCAGUGUGAAAAACUCCGGUGGUAUAAGAUGGACCCGCGUUGGAUUAGCUGGUUGGUGGGGUAACGGCCCACCAAGGCGACGAUCCAUAGCCGGCCUGAGAGGGUGAACGGCCACAUUGGGACUGAGACACGGCCCAGACUCCUACGGGAGGCAGCAGUGGGGAAUAUUGCACAAUGGGGGAAACCCUGAUGCAGCGACGCCGCGUGAAGGAAGAAGUAUCUCGGUAUGUAAACUUCUAUCAGCAGGGAAGAUAAUGACGGUACCUGACUAAGAAGCCCCGGCUAACUACGU
This 477-nucleotide ribosomal RNA is filed under the name uncultured bacterium. RNAcentral describes it as "partial 16S ribosomal RNA". It matches the Rfam family "Bacterial small subunit ribosomal RNA", at positions 28 to 506 of the family's 1533-position model. The record is from RNAcentral.